Molecule: ribosomal RNA, 382 nt
Filed under: uncultured eukaryote
Lineage: Eukaryota
Description: partial 18S ribosomal RNA
Rfam family: Eukaryotic small subunit ribosomal RNA
Source: RNAcentral
UGUAAGCGUAUACCAAAGUUGUUGCAGUUAAAACGCUCGUAGUCGGAAUUUGGCAGUUCCGGAUGUGUGCACGUCGUGUGCGCACUUCGCGGGGAUUGCUUUUGUGGUCUUGCGUAGGAUGAGGCACUUUUAUUAGUGAACGUCCUCACGCAACCACUUUUUACUGUGAGAAAAUCAGAGUGCUCAAAGCAGGCAUUUGCCGUGAAUGUAUUAGCAUGGAAUAAUAGAAUAGGACUUGGUUCUAUUUUGUUGGUUUGUUGGGACUGAGUAAUGAUUAAGAGGGACAGUUGGGGGCAUUUGUAUUUCGGGGCUAGAGGUGAAAUUCUUAGAUUACCGAAAGACAAACUGCUGCGAAAGCGUCUGCCAAGGAUGUUUUCAUUGA